UGUGUACUCCCUCCGUUCCAAAAUACUUGACUUCCAUUUGUCCAAAAAUGGAUGUACAUAUAUACUAAAACAUGUCUAGAUACAUAUAUAUUUUGACAAAUAGAAGGCAUGUAUUGUGCAACGGAGGGAGUAGAAU
Molecule: non-coding RNA, 136 nt
Organism: Triticum aestivum (bread wheat)
Lineage: Eukaryota; Viridiplantae; Streptophyta; Magnoliopsida; Poales; Poaceae
Source: Rfam